RNAcentral lists this ribosomal RNA (474 nucleotides) under uncultured bacterium. RNAcentral describes it as "bacterial SSU rRNA". It matches the Rfam family "Bacterial small subunit ribosomal RNA", at positions 335 to 796 of the family's 1533-position model. The record is from RNAcentral.
ACUCCUACGGGAGGCAGCAGUGGGGAAUAUUGCACAAUGGGCGCAAGCCUGAUGCAGCCAUGCCGCGUGUAUGAAGAAGGCCUUCGGGUUGUAAAGUACUUUCAGCAGUGAGGAAGGCGGGUACGUUAAUAGCGUGCUUGUUUGACGUUAGCUGCAGAAGAAGCACCGGCUAACUCCGUGCCAGCAGCCGCGGUAAUACGGAGGGUGCGAGCGUUAAUCGGAAUUACUGGGCGUAAAGCGCAUGCAGGUGGUUUGUUAAGUCAGAUGUGAAAGCCCGGGGCUCAACCUCGGAAUUGCAUUUGAAACUGGCAGACUAGAGUACUGUAGAGGGGGUAGAAUUUCAGGUGUAGCGGUGAAAUGCGUAGAGAUCUAGAAGGAAUACCGGUAGGCGAAGGCGGCCCCCUGGACAGAUACUGACACUCAGAUGCGAAAGCGUGGGGAGCAAACAGGAUUAGAUACCCUGGUAGGAUAGCC